Molecule: ribosomal RNA, 253 nt
Filed under: uncultured bacterium
Lineage: Bacteria
Description: partial 16S ribosomal RNA
Rfam family: Bacterial small subunit ribosomal RNA
Source: RNAcentral
GACAGAGGCCCCAAGCGUUAGGCGGAAUCACUGGGCUUAAAGCGUGUGUAGGCGGACGCCUAAGUGUCUUGUGAAAGCCCUCGGCUCAACCGGGGAACUGCAUGGGAAACUGCGGAGCUUGAGUCCGGGAGAGGUGAGUGGAAUUCCCAGUGUAGCGGUGAAAUGCGUAGAUAUUGGGAGGAACACCGGUGGCGAAGGCGGCUCACUGGACCGGUACUGACGCUGAGACGCGAAAGCGUGGGGAGCGAACAGG